AAUUGACGGGACCGCACAAGCAGCGGAGCAUGUGGUUUAAUUCGAAGCAACGCGAAGAACCUUACCAGGUCUUGACAUCCUCUGACAAUCCGAGAGAUCGGACUUUCCCUUCGGGGACAGAGAGACAGGUGGUGCAUGGUUGUCGUCAGCUCGUGUCGUGAGAUGUUGGGUUAAGUCCCGCAACGAGCGCAACCCCUACGUUUAGUUGCUAACGCGUGAAGGCGAGCACUCUAGACGAACUGCCGUUGACAAAACGGAGGAAGGUGGGGAUGACGUCAAAUCAUCAUGCCCCUUAUGUUCUGGGCUACACACGUGCUACAAUGGCCGGUACAGACGGACGCAAAGCCGCGAGGUGGAGCAAAUCCUAAAAAGCCGGUCUCAGUUCGGAUUGCAGGCUGCAAUUCGCCUGCAUGAAGUCGGAAUCGCUAGUAAUCGCAGGUCAGCAUACUGCGGUGAAUACGUUCCCGGGCCUU
This 473-nucleotide ribosomal RNA is filed under the name uncultured Pelotomaculum sp. RNAcentral's name for it is "bacterial SSU rRNA". It matches the Rfam family "Bacterial small subunit ribosomal RNA", at positions 908 to 1382 of the family's 1533-position model. Lineage: Bacteria; Bacillati; Bacillota; Clostridia; Eubacteriales; Desulfotomaculaceae. The record is from RNAcentral.